This 888-nucleotide small RNA is filed under the name Drosophila pseudoobscura pseudoobscura. RNAcentral's name for it is "GA30632". Lineage: Eukaryota; Metazoa; Arthropoda; Insecta; Diptera; Drosophilidae. The record is from RNAcentral.
UAUAUGUAUAAUAUUUAAUUUAUGAACAACCAUUAGAAAUAUAAAUUAUAGCGUUACACAGAGUGGAAUGUUUUAGGCAAACAAAAAAAGGUGCAAUGGGGAGUUCAGUUCUGUGAUUUUCACUUUUGGCACACCUGUAAUUUGCAGUUACGUACCAGAACGACCCCAUGGGCAUGCAUGGGUUUAAUUGCAGUCUCUCCACCGCUCACUCGCUCUCCCCUCUCCCAACCCCUGCGACCAUUAAUGCUAAUGGCAUGUGAAUGAAUGCACAAAGAGGGGGAUGCGAGGCAGAGAAAGAGCGCCAGUGUGACUGACGACUCUGACUGUCCCACUCACUCACUUACUCACUCAUUACACGUCUGCCUGCUCGCUCACUCCCUCACGUCACAUGAAAUUACAGUGGCCGCCGUCAGUCGACAGCGUCGGCGGGCGACAUCGUCAGCGUUGUUCUCAUUGAUUUUGCUUUGUUCGCGUAAAUUGUUCUCCUUAUGCUAAUGUUGUUGCUGUUUCUCUGCCAAAUUGCCAACAGAGAGAAAGAAUGAAUGUGGUGAAGCGGAGAAGAAAGAGGAUUGGGGAGGAAGACUGGAGUGCAGUGGUGCGAGAGUGAAGUCAUUCACUUGAAGAGCGGUGCUAAGCGGGAGAGCAGCAGGAGGAUUGCAAGGCGUACUUGUGCCGGGGAAUGCCAAUGCCUCACCUUGCAUUAAUAUGUUAUAUAUAUUUCGAAGAAGACUGGAGCCAGGGAGAGCAGGGAGAGAAAUGGGGUGAGCGUGACUGAUGAAGAAAAGAGAGAGAGGACAGAAUUGCAUGUUAAGUUUACCGUUUAUUUUAAGUUGGGUUUUUCUGCCUAGUGUUAUGCACAAGAAAUAAACAAAAAAAAAACAACAAAAG